CCCUCCUACAGAGGGGCGUCCAUGGUUCCCUGCGUCUGGACGUGUAAGAACCGGAGGCGAAGAUGUGUGGACUUGGGGAAGUCCGGAGUGGCCUGCUCCCUGCAGGCUCGACAUCAGCCGUCCCACACAG
This is a small nucleolar RNA of Phyllostomus discolor (pale spear-nosed bat), 130 nucleotides long. RefSeq annotates it as small nucleolar RNA SNORA38. Lineage: Eukaryota; Metazoa; Chordata; Mammalia; Chiroptera; Phyllostomidae. The transcript has a single exon. The record is from RefSeq and is a predicted model, not a curated record.